GCCGUGAGGUGUUGGGUUAAGUCCCGCAACGAGCGCAACCCUCACUCUAUGUUGCCAUCGGGUAAUGCCGGGCACUCUUAGGGAACCGCCGGCGAAGAGCUGGAGGAAGGGGGGGAUGACGUCAAGUCCGUAUGCCCCUUAUGUCCAGGGCUACACACAUGCUACAAUGGCCGAUACAGAGGGUUCCCAACCCGCGAGGGGGAGGCAAUCCCACAAAGUCGGUCUCAGUUCGGAUUGCAGGCUGCAACUCGCCUGCAUGAAGUCGGAAUCGCUAGUAAGCGCAGAUCAGCAGGCUGCGCUGAAUACGUUCCCGGGCCUUGUACACACCGCCCGUCACACCACGAAAGCCGGUUGUACCAGAAGUCGCUGAGCCAACCGCAAGGAAGCAGGCGCCGAAGGUAUGGUCGGUGAUUGGGGUGAAGUCGUAACAAGGUAGCCGUAGGGGAACCUGCGGCUGGAUCACCUCCUUAACGGAGCUGCGAGUAAGGCAGACUUGCCUGGGCAACCAGGGUUACCUGCCGGAAAGCACUCACGUGUCGCUCGUCUCGUAACAUCCAGAUCUCAACUCUCGAUUUCCAUAUAAAAGAGCCCGAACCAUCCGCGGCAACGCGGCAUGGUCCAGGCUCGAAAGUACAAGAGGGACUUGAAACUAAGUCCUUAAGCACCAAGCGACUGAGCGCUUAUAUCUCAACCGUUUUUUGACAAUGGAAAGUAGUAGUGAUCGUGGGAUUUGAGUAUCGGGAUUUGAUAAGAUCCUGGUACUGAGAAUCAACACUAGUGACACAAUUUCAAAAGAUGCUCUGGCUUGAAAGGGUCAGGGCUCGAUUUGUCUCAAAGAGCUUAACCGCUCCGAGAGUCCAAAGAUUGUAUCACUCGUUAGAUCGUGCGUGUUUCUGUUUGAACAAGUUAUUUGAUCAAGCGAAAGAAAGUAUGUAGGGGAUGCCUAGGUACACGGAGGCGAUGAAGGCCGUGGUAAGCUGCGAUAAGCCAGGGGGAGCGGCACACACGCUAUGAGCCCUGGAUGG
This 1025-nucleotide small RNA is filed under the name uncultured bacterium. Its description in RNAcentral is "bacterial SSU rRNA". The stretch from base 1 to 470 matches the Rfam family "Bacterial small subunit ribosomal RNA", at positions 1064 to 1533 of the family's 1533-position model. The record is from RNAcentral.